Molecule: ribosomal RNA, 390 nt
Filed under: Crepidula fornicata
Lineage: Eukaryota; Metazoa; Mollusca; Gastropoda; Littorinimorpha; Calyptraeidae
Description: partial 16S ribosomal RNA
Rfam family: Bacterial large subunit ribosomal RNA
Source: RNAcentral
CGGCCGCAGUAUCUUAACUGUGCUAAGGUAGCAUAAUAAUUUGUCCUAUAAUUGAGGACUGGAAUGAAUGGUCUCACAAGAGCAAAGCUGUCUCUUUUUGAUUAGAUAGAAUUUACCUUUCAGAUGAAGAGGUCUGAAUAUAAUUAAAAGACAAGAAGACCCUAUCGAGCUUUAAAAAAAUUAGUAAAAUCUAUUUUAUACUACGUAAAAAUAAAUUAUUAAACAUUUUGGUUGGGGCGACUAAGGAACAAAAAAAGCUUCUUUAAUUUACUGAAACUUACUAGUUUUGAUCCAUAAGUUAUGAUUAAUGAAAUUAGUUACCGUAGGGAUAACAGCCUUAUCUUUUUUGAGAGCUCUAAUCCGAAAAAAAGGUUUGUGACCUCGAUGUUG